GACGAACGCUGGCGGCGUGCUUAACACAUGCAAGUCGAACGGAAAGGCCCUGCUUUUGUGGGGUGCUCGAGUGGCGAACGGGUGAGUAACACGUGAGUAACCUGCCCUUGACUUUGGGAUAACUUCAGGAAACUGGGGCUAAUACCGGAUAGGAGCUCCUGCUGCAUGGUGGGGGUUGGAAAGUUUCGGCGGUUGGGGAUGGACUCGCGGCUUAUCAGCUUGUUGGUGGGGUAGUGGCUUACCAAGGCUUUGACGGGUAGCCGGCCUGAGAGGGUGACCGGAGACAUGGGGACUGAGAGACGGCCCGGAGGCCGACGGGAGGCAGCAGUGGGGAGUAUGGCGCAAGGGGCGGAAGCCUGAUGCAGCAACGGCGCGUGCGGGAGGACGGGCUUCGGGUUGUAAACCGCUUGAGCCGGUGACGAAGGGUGAGUGAGGGUAAUGGGUAAAGAAGCACCGGCUAACUACGUG
This 468-nucleotide ribosomal RNA is filed under the name uncultured bacterium. RNAcentral's name for it is "partial 16S ribosomal RNA". It matches the Rfam family "Bacterial small subunit ribosomal RNA", at positions 28 to 507 of the family's 1533-position model. The record is from RNAcentral.